UAAAGUGGCGUACGGGUGGGUAACACGUGGAUGAUCUACCUCUUGGUGGGGAAUAACCUUGGGAAACCGGGGCUAAUACCGCAUAAGCCUGGAAAGGGAAAGCAGCAAUGCGCCGAGAGAGGAGCCCGCGGCCGAUUAGCUAGUUGGUGAGGUAAUGGCUCACCAAGGCGGUGAUCGGUAGCCGGCCUGAGAGGGCACACGGCCACACUGGCACUGAAACACGGGCCAG
RNAcentral lists this ribosomal RNA (229 nucleotides) under uncultured bacterium. RNAcentral describes it as "partial 16S ribosomal RNA". It matches the Rfam family "Bacterial small subunit ribosomal RNA", at positions 91 to 334 of the family's 1533-position model. The record is from RNAcentral.